This 623-nucleotide ribosomal RNA is filed under the name Salmonella enterica subsp. enterica. RNAcentral describes it as "partial 23S ribosomal RNA". It matches the Rfam family "Bacterial large subunit ribosomal RNA", at positions 1 to 652 of the family's 2925-position model. Lineage: Bacteria; Pseudomonadati; Pseudomonadota; Gammaproteobacteria; Enterobacterales; Enterobacteriaceae. The record is from RNAcentral.
GGGUUGUGAGGUUAAGCGACUAAGCGUACACGGUGGAUGCCCUGGCAGUCAGAGGCGAUGAAGGGCGUGCUAAUCUGCGAUAAGCGCCGGUAAGGUGAUAUGAACCGUUAUAACCGGCGAUACCCGAAUGGGGAAACCCAGUGUGACUCGUCACACUAUCAUUAACUGAAUCCAUAGGUUAAUGAGGCGAACCGGGGGAACUGAAACAUCUAAGUACCCCGAGGAAAAGAAAUCAACCGAGAUUCCCCCAGUAGCGGCGAGCGAACGGGGAGGAGCCCAGAGCCUGAAUCAGCAUGUGUGUUAGUGGAAGUGUCUGGAAAGGCGCGCGAUACAGGGUGACAGCCCCGUACACAAAAGCGCAUGUGCUGUGAGCUCGAUGAGUAGGGCGGGACACGUGGUAUCCUGUCUGAAUAUGGGGGGACCAUCCUCCAAGGCUAAAUACUCCUGACUGACCGAUAGUGAACCAGUACCGUGAGGGAAAGGCGAAAAGAACCCCGGCGAGGGGAGUGAAAAAGAACCUGAAACCGUGUACGUACAAGCAGUGGGAGCACAGGUUUACCUGUGUGACUGCGUACCUUUUGUAUAAUGGGUCAGCGACUUAUAUUCUGUAGCAAGGUUAACCG